This 386-nucleotide long non-coding RNA is filed under the name Equus caballus (horse). RNAcentral describes it as "lncRNA (ENSECAG00000058247.1)". The record is from RNAcentral. Lineage: Eukaryota; Metazoa; Chordata; Mammalia; Perissodactyla; Equidae.
AAGUCACAUGACUAAUGAGUGGCAGAGCUGGGAUUCAGAACUAUGUUCUCAAACACUAUAUUACUUCACUUAAGAGCAGCAGGGGUGAGCGGCACUCCAAGGCCGGCUGAUUCAGAAGUUGCACGAUGUCAUCAAGGACUCACGUUCUUUACAUCUCUCCACCGUGCGUCCUCAGUGAAUCAGUCCUGCCCUCUGGCCGGCUCCUCUCGCGGUGUCAAGACGGCAGCAACAAUUCCGGGCAUCACAUCCAGACACAACAGUGUCCAGAGGAGGAAAGGGAACAUGGAGUGGAGGCUAAGAGCAUCAUCUCUGGAGCCAAACAGCUUUACUUCCCAGGUGAAGAAGAAAAAUUUUUGCUCUGCCAGUGGUUAAAAACCUGGGCUGGA